CUUCACCGACCCCAACCACAACGGCCGGCCCCCGGGGCGGUCUUGGCCGUACGUCGCGAUCAGCGCCUGCGCCUC
Molecule: antisense RNA, 75 nt
Filed under: Streptomyces viridochromogenes DSM 40736
Lineage: Bacteria; Bacillati; Actinomycetota; Actinomycetes; Kitasatosporales; Streptomycetaceae
Description: ASpks TB sRNA
Rfam family: ASpks TB sRNA
Source: Rfam by way of RNAcentral